RNAcentral lists this ribosomal RNA (496 nucleotides) under uncultured bacterium. RNAcentral's name for it is "partial 16S ribosomal RNA". It matches the Rfam family "Bacterial small subunit ribosomal RNA", at positions 28 to 523 of the family's 1533-position model. The record is from RNAcentral.
GAUGAACGCUAGCGGCAGGCCUAAUACAUGCAAGUCGAGGGGUAGAGGAGGCUUGCUUCUUUGAGACCGGCGCACGGGUGCGUAACGCGUAUGCAACCUACCUUCAUCUGGGGGAUAGCCCGGAGAAAUCCGGAUUAAUACCGCAUAAAAUCACAGGAUGGCAUUAUCCAAUGAUCAAACAUUUAUGGGAUGGAGAUGGGCAUGCGUGUCAUUAGCUAGUUGGCGGGGUAACGGCCCACCAAGGCGACGAUGACUAGGGGAUCUGAGAGGAUGGCCCCCCACGCUGGUACUGAGACACGGACCAGACUCCUACGGGAGGCAGCAGUAAGGAAUAUUGGUCAAUGGAGGCAACUCUGAACCAGCCAUGCCGCGUGCAGGAAGACUGCCCUAUGGGUUGUAAACUGCUUUUAUUCGGGAAUAAACCUUAUUACGUGUAAUAAGCUGAAUGUACCGAAGGAAUAAGGAUCGGCUAACUCCGUGCCAGCAGCCGCCGUAA